RNAcentral lists this ribosomal RNA (468 nucleotides) under uncultured bacterium. Its description in RNAcentral is "partial 16S ribosomal RNA". It matches the Rfam family "Bacterial small subunit ribosomal RNA", at positions 28 to 507 of the family's 1533-position model. The record is from RNAcentral.
GACGAACGCUGGCGGCGUGCUUAACACAUGCAAGUCGAACGGAAAGGCCCUGCUUUUGUGGGGUGCUCGAGUGGCGAACGGGUGAGUAACACGUGAGUAACCUGCCCUUGACUUUGGGAUAACUUCAGGAAACUGGGGCUAAUACCGGAUAGGAGCUCCUGCUGCAUGGUGGGGGUUGGAAAGUUUCGGCGGUUGGGGAUGGACUCGCGGCUUAUCAGCUUGUUGGGGGGGUAGUGGCUUACCAAGGCUUUGACGGGUAGCCGGCCUGAGAGGGUGAACGGCCACAUUGGGACUGAGAUACGGCCCAGACUCGUACGGGAGGCAGCAGUGGGGAAUAUUGCACAAUGGGCGGAAGCCUGAUGCGGCAACGCCGCGUGCGGGAUGAAGGCCUUCGGGUUGUAAACCGCUUUAGCCUGUGACGAAGCGUGAGUGACGGUAAUGGGUAAAGAAGCACCGGCUAACUACGUG